UGCCAGCAGCGCGGUAAUACGAAGGGUGCUAGCGUUGUUCGGAAUUAUUGGGUUUAAAGGGUACGUAGGCGGAAUAUUAAGUCAGUAGUGAAAGCCUAUCGCUCAACGAUAGAACUGCUAUUGAUACUGAUAUUCUUGAAUAUAGUUGAAGUAGGCGGAAUACGACAUGUAGCGGUGAAAUGCAUAGAUAUGUCGUGGAACACCAAUCGCGAAGGCAGCUUACUAAGCUAUUAUUGGCGCUAAGGUACGAAAGCGUGGGGAGCGAACAGGAUUAGAUA
RNAcentral lists this ribosomal RNA (278 nucleotides) under uncultured bacterium. RNAcentral describes it as "partial 16S ribosomal RNA". It matches the Rfam family "Bacterial small subunit ribosomal RNA", at positions 506 to 784 of the family's 1533-position model. The record is from RNAcentral.